UACGUAGGGAGCAAGCGUUGUUCGGAUUUACUGGGCGUAAAGGGCGCGUAGGCGGCAUGUUAAGUCAGCUGUGAAAUCUCCGAGCUUAACUCGGAACGGUCAGCUGAUACUGAUGUGCUAGAGUGCGGAAGGGGCAAUCGGAAUUCUUGGUGUAGCGGUGAAAUGCGUAGAUAUCAAGAGGAACACCUGAGGUGAAGACGGGUUGCUGGGCCGACACUGACGCUGAGUGCGCGAAAGCCAGGGGAGCAAACGGG
Molecule: ribosomal RNA, 254 nt
Filed under: uncultured bacterium
Lineage: Bacteria
Description: partial 16S ribosomal RNA
Rfam family: Bacterial small subunit ribosomal RNA
Source: RNAcentral